RNAcentral lists this long non-coding RNA (1279 nucleotides) under Homo sapiens (human). Its description in RNAcentral is "HSALNT0341363". Lineage: Eukaryota; Metazoa; Chordata; Mammalia; Primates; Hominidae. The record is from RNAcentral.
CUCAUGACCUCAAGUAAUCUGCCCACCUCCGCCUCCCAAAGUGCUGAGAUUACAGGCGUGAGCCACCGUGCCCAACUUAAACUGCCCAAUUUUAAGGGAACAAUUGGGAAAACACUUGUUUAAAAAGGAAAUGAAGGAGUUGCCACGAUUGUGGUUAGCUGUGUGAAGACCCUAGAAAACCUAUGUAAACUCCUGGGGGCUCACAGUCUUACUGCCUGGUCAAGAACCUUAGAAAACUUAGAUGUACGUGUUAGGAGACCAGGUCUGAAAGCUCCCAGGGUUGUAUAAACUUCUAUACUAAGUUCCAUGAUACCCGAUGGGUAGUCCCACAUUUAGACAUGCUAUUGCUAUUGCUGCUUCCUUCCUUAUCAUGAAAAGAGCAGAAGAUGCAGACAAUACAUGAAGCAGGAAGACAAAGGGGAGACACUGAACUUGUCACCUACCUUUGGGUGCCCCUCAUGCUUCAUGUUUCCCAUUGAGCCUCACUUAUCAGUGACACAGGGAAUGGUCCCUUUGCUGUCCACUUUCCCCGUGGCUGCCUGGAGGUAGGAGAGGCAGAUCGUGUCACUUGCCGAGAUUAUGUUGCUGUGGAUUCGUUGGAGGGACAGGAACAGGAAAUCUUCCUGGUGGUCUCAAGCUGUUGGACUCGCCGAGGCAGUAAAAGUACCAUAUCCUGUGUUUGAAUCAAACUCCAAUUUCCUGUAUAUAGAAGGCUUGCCAGACAGGAUUCCCUUCCGAAGCCCUACCUGGUUUGGAAUUCCAUGACUUGAAAGGAUCCUUCGUGGGAGUAAUAAAAUCAAGUUUGUUGUUAAAAACUUUGCAGUCCCCAAAAAAACCAUGAAGCCCUGAGAGUAAUGAAAAGCUUCCUGACAUUGAGGUCACUGUGGAAGAACCACCUAAGCUAAAGAUUCUUUUGAGAACAAGGGCUAGCCUGUGGUUUCAUGGCCUUUCUUCCAUUUGGGGUUCUUGCCAAGUGGAAUUUAAAUGACCUCUUAUCAAGAUGGAUAAACCCAAGUUUCCCAGUGCUGGAAUACAGAAAAUGGAUGGACAAGAUGUCUUUUUGUCACUUCCAGCUGGAUCUACCAUGAAAGACGUCAGAGUCCAGGAAGAGAGACUGACUGGGCAACAUGUUAUUCAGAAUUAGAGAAGAUGAUGUGGUGAUGGAAGAAGAGGUCAGAGAGGGAGAUUUGAAGAUGUUGCAGUUCUGGCCUUCAAGAUGGAGUCAGGGGCUAUCUUCAAGAGAGAAGAUCUUGAUCUGUGGCCCAGGCUGCAGUACAGU